Molecule: long non-coding RNA, 671 nt
Organism: Hyla sarda
Lineage: Eukaryota; Metazoa; Chordata; Amphibia; Anura; Hylidae
Exons: 3
Source: RefSeq, a predicted model, not a curated record
AAAGAAGCGAUCUGAUUGGUUGCUAUGGGCAACUCAGCAACUUUUCCUCUGGGCAGGUUUUGAUAAAUCUCCCCCACUGUGUGCAAUGUGUUCGGAUAAUUUUACAACCCUUGACGAAGCCUCAGUGCAAAAUAAGCCUCUGUGAAGAACCAUCUCAAAAACUCACUCGAACCUUAUGAAACCCCAUGCAUUUUAAUAAGGAGGGGCACAAACGGCCAAGGCCGACCUGAAAACCGUGACAAUGGGCUCUUAUUCUCAGGAUGUAAUGCAGAGUAUACAGUACAGGCAUCUGCUCCAUUAUGCGCGGCACAUAAUGUUUACAACUCUAAAAGGUGCGGUAUUAAGGGGGAAACCUAAAGAGAUUUUGGAAGCUUUUCAAGGUUAUAAUAGGUGUGUGUGCUAUUAGCGAGCCGCAGAUAUAUAUACAAACCGUAACAUACGUCAGUCACAUCAAAACCGCCGGCAUGAUCUGCUCGCAAGAAGUGUCAUCGGAACAGGAAGUCUACAUCUUUAGCGUGGCGUCAUGUGUUACUGAUUAAACCGCACCGAGAGUUAAAGCCGCGGUGCUCCAGUGCCUGACGUUCUGGAAAGGAUGGAUUAACAACACUUUCUUCUUGGGCCAACAAUGAAUCUUUUUCUUUUGUAAGAUGUUUCUGGGCCUUGCAUUGUCU